RNAcentral lists this ribosomal RNA (518 nucleotides) under uncultured bacterium. RNAcentral's name for it is "bacterial SSU rRNA". It matches the Rfam family "Bacterial small subunit ribosomal RNA", at positions 21 to 518 of the family's 1533-position model. The record is from RNAcentral.
GGCUCGGAACGAACGCUGGCGGCGUGCUUAACACAUGCAAGUCGAACGCGAAAGGGACUUCGGUCCUGAGUAAAGUGGCGCACGGGUGAGUAACGCGUAGAUAACCUGUCUUCAUGUCUGGAAUAAUACGCCGAAAGGGGUACUAAUACCGGAUAUUCUUGCUUUUCAUAAGUUAUGCAAGCAAAGGUGGCCUCUGCAUAUGCUACUGCAUGAAGAGGGGUCUGCGUACCAUUAGCUAGUAGGUGGGGUAAUGGCCUACCUAGGCGACGAUGGUUAGCGGGUCUGAGAGGAUGAUCCGCCACACUGGCACUGGAACACGGGCCAGACUCCUACGGGAGGCAGCAGUGAGGAAUAUUGCGCAAUGGGGGAAACCCUGACGCAGCGACGCCGCGUGAGUGAAGGAAGGCCUUCGGGUCGUAAAGCUCUGUCAAGAGGAAAGAAGUGUACAAUGGCUAAUACCUGUUGUAUUUGACGGUACCUCUAAAGGAAGCACCGGCUAACUCCGUGCCAGCCGCAGC